Molecule: long non-coding RNA, 150 nt
Organism: Lampris incognitus (smalleye Pacific opah)
Lineage: Eukaryota; Metazoa; Chordata; Actinopteri; Lampriformes; Lampridae
Exons: 3
Source: RefSeq, a predicted model, not a curated record
AGGACCUUCUUGUUGUGAGGUGGCCGCACUAACCACAGCACCACCGUGCCGCCCUGGUCCCGGGACUCAACUGGAAGAGUCUGUUGAGUUUCUGUGCAGGUCAACAGGUGACUCGACGCUAGCUGAGCCACGGAAGAAACCGGAUCACCU